Molecule: long non-coding RNA, 417 nt
Organism: Rosa rugosa (rugosa rose)
Lineage: Eukaryota; Viridiplantae; Streptophyta; Magnoliopsida; Rosales; Rosaceae
Exons: 3
Source: RefSeq, a predicted model, not a curated record
CAUCAACGAGUUUCGCGGUCUUCAAUUUGAGCAUCAACAUUCUUUUAAUAUUAAAGAUGGAGAACAGGCACUUGAACGCAUCUCCUUUGGAGGAAGUCAUAUUAGGGAAACCGUGGUAGCUCAAAGUAGAAUACUGUUGUUUUGGUAUUGCACCACUUACUGAUUCAUAUAUAUAUAUAUGGAGUGCCAUGGAGAUGUUUAUCGAGUAGAGUGGGCAGAGCAGAUUGAUGGAUUUUGGCGCAGAUGAACUAAAAUAGUUAGCAUAUGUAUAUGCAGAUUUCUUACUUUGUGUAGCAGCAACUUUGGAUUAAAUUGGUCAAAACAGUAGAGUAGGACAUUUUGGAUCUUUAUUCUCCUUUAAUAAGAUGGACUUAUGGCGUUUGUAGAUUACUUGUGUUGGAUGUUUUCUAUGUUGUA